GAUGAAGAACGUAGCGAAAUGCGAUAAGUAAUGUGAAUUGCAGAAUUCAGUGAAUCAUCGAAUCUUUGAACGCACAUUGCGCCCGCCAGCAUUCUGGCGGGCAUGCCUGUUCGAGCGUCAUUUCAACCCUCGAGCCCCCCCGGGGGCCUCGGUGUUGGGGGACGGCACACCAGCCGCCCCCGAAAUGCAGUGGCGACCCCGCCGCAGCCUCCCCUGCGUAGUAGCACACACCUCGCACCGGAGCGCGGAGGCGGUCACGCCGUAAAACGCCCAACUUUCUUAGAGUUGACCUCGGAUCAGGUAGGAAUACCCGCUGAACUUAAGCAUAUCAAUAAGGGAGGA
This 342-nucleotide unclassified non-coding RNA is filed under the name soil metagenome. RNAcentral describes it as "partial contains 5.8S ribosomal RNA, internal transcribed spacer 2, and large subunit ribosomal RNA". The stretch from base 1 to 120 matches the Rfam family "5.8S ribosomal RNA", at positions 35 to 154 of the family's 154-position model. The record is from RNAcentral.